CCAGGAAUUAUGCGCGCUGACAGGAGAUGCAUGAGCCGCGCAUUGUGCGGCUGGAGCAGCCUUGACAACUUAUAGUUAACUGCUGCAUCGGCGACCCCGAACACAAAAGGAUGCGGCGGCUUAUUAAUGGCCGAGCAUCCGUGUCAAUAAUCCCUGCUUUUGGGUUGUGUCCAGACUCAUGCAUCUUGCCACGCAACCGGCGGCGCACGCAUGCGAACAUGGGCUCAGGCGCGCGCGCGGACGCCGGAGUUAUGAGCGUGAGCGCUGAGUGGAGCUCAGCAGGAGCUGGACACCCGCUUCGGACGUUAUCACGGCAUUCAAUGGCCAUUAUCAGUGGUUGUCAGCUUAUACUUAUGGGCCAAUAGGUGCCUACUCCACCUACUGACAGCGGUGAGUAGGUGCAGCAGGUCGUCGUCAUCUAUUCCUAAAGUAGAUCACGGCUUGGGGGACCAAACCAACUGAAUCCAGAUCCACUAGAGGCGCUGUUAAACCCUUUUUCUUCACGGGAGAAUCGACGCGCUGAUCAAGGCUUUACUGUCAUAUUGGAGAUACUGGAGAUAUGGUGAAACACAGGACAAGUGUGCGAUCUACGAAACAUAGAGUAUGUGUUCGUCGGAGGAUCAUUGGUGGUGCUACCAAAGUUUCUGUUUUGAGAAACGUUUCACAUCCACCUGUAACUGUGGAUGUUACACCUGUCACCACCACAUCAUCUCUGGAUGAACAUUCAGAGGCAGAACCAAGCAGCAGUUGCAUGUCCGAGACUGCUUACACAAAAGCAAAGAAGAAGGAGCUCAGGGCCUGGGACUCAUUGAAGGAGGAUAUGCUGCGGGUAUCUUAUGAGUCAUCAGCACCAUCUACAAAUAUCUGUGCUCUCUGCAAAGAGCAUGCAGAGAGUAGGUGCCUUGAGUGCAGCAGUACUAAUAUGUUUUGUGAGACCUGUAUCACAAAAACCCACCGCAAUUCCUUGCACCUACCAGAGAAAUGGAAUAAAACAUUGUAUGUGACAUCUCCACUUGAAUUAGCACUACGCUUACCAGGAGAACAUUGUUCUCAUGCUGUGUACGCAAGAGAUAUGAAAAUAUUUGUGAACACAGGCCAGUUGUGCAGCUUCAGCGUGACUCUUUGUACAUGUGAACCAGAAACUUGCACCCUGCUCAGAUAUGGAAUCUGGCCUGCGACACCAGAGAGGCCUCAAACAGCGUUCUCUAUAGCUCUUUUGGAGCUUUUUCAUUAUCUGUCCAUGGAAUGCCAGGUAUCUGUUGAGGGAUUCUGCAAUAUGUUGCGGUGGAAAAACAAUCUGUCUCUUUCAGAGGUUAACAUGCUCUACAGAGCUCUGGUGGGAGAAUCUAUAUCCCAGUUUCGCCACCACCACUUUAGAUGCAGAAGUUUAUCUGGUCUUUGUCCCUCAUUUGAUGAUGGAACAACAUGCCCAGUAUGUCCUAAGAGUAACGGCAAUCUGAUUGUAACAAUGGAUGCCAACUUUGGCCUUGUUCGAAAAAGAAGUUCAGGAAGUAGUUUGGUGGAGCCGUUGCAUGGUAACAGAAUGUUUGUGAGGGAAGAAGAUGUGCAAGAAUACCUGUCAUCCCAUCCUGAUGGUUCCAAGCCAAAUGAAGACUGUAGUAAUUUCAAGGCAGGGAACCUGCUUCGUUCUCAAAAAAACCAACAAAAACUAGAUGUAACAGGGGUGUUUGGAGUCUCUUGCCGCCAUGAGAUUCCGUUGGUGUUUUUGAACAUGACCCAGGGAGAACGGCUAGCAUAUCCAAUGUAUAUAAUCAAAGAACUCCUAACAAGGAAUCAGGGCAAGAACCUGAAUCUGUAUGUCAUAUAUGACAUUGCAUGUGUACUUUCAUCACACAUGCAUGUGAGUAUGUUAUCACUAAAAAUGGGCACAAAUUACUUUUGUCUAAUUUAUUUUUGUUAUUAG
Long non-coding RNA from Betta splendens (Siamese fighting fish), 1924 nucleotides. Ensembl lists it as uncharacterized. The record is from Ensembl. NCBI's taxonomy places the organism in Eukaryota, Metazoa, Chordata, Actinopteri, Anabantiformes, Osphronemidae.